AUGAUGGAGAGUUUGAUCCUGGCUCAGGACGAACGCUGGCGGCGUGGAUUAGGCAUGCAAGUCGAACGGUAGUAUCCCUUCGGGGAUAUGAGAGUGGCGAACGGGUGAGUAACACGUAGGUAAUCUACCCUCAAAUCGGGGACAACCCAGGGAAACUUGGGCUAAUACCGGAUGAGUGCAGCACCUUGAUUUUCUGGUGAA
RNAcentral lists this ribosomal RNA (201 nucleotides) under Candidatus Cloacimonadota bacterium. RNAcentral's name for it is "partial 16S ribosomal RNA". It matches the Rfam family "Bacterial small subunit ribosomal RNA", at positions 1 to 204 of the family's 1533-position model. Lineage: Bacteria; Pseudomonadati; Candidatus Cloacimonadota. RNAcentral also lists the same sequence under 1 other name. The record is from RNAcentral.